UCACCCCUCAAGCCCCGUGCUUGGUGUUGGACGGCCCGGUCGAGGUUACUCGACCCCUCCUAAAGACAAUGACGGCGGCCUGUGGUUCCCCCGGUACACUGAGCUUUUAACUGAGCACGUAUCGGAUAAGGGCGCCCGGGACACGGUCCUCUCCUUUAACUAGGAAACUUUUACAAGG
This 178-nucleotide unclassified non-coding RNA is filed under the name uncultured Cladophialophora. Its description in RNAcentral is "sequence contains ITS2". The record is from RNAcentral. Lineage: Eukaryota; Fungi; Ascomycota; Eurotiomycetes; Chaetothyriales; Herpotrichiellaceae.